AUCUAAUCCCACGCGUUCCGAUCGACCAAGCUCCACGAACAUACGGAAUCGCCGCCGCCGCCUUGUCUCAUGGCCAACCACGGGGAUCUCUCCCCACCGACCGACAGCCGCUACCAGCAGCAGCCGAUUCCAGUCUUGUACCAGUCACGCUACGGCAAAACACCAGAGGGCACUCCGCUUUCCUUUGUACUCCCUCGGUUCGGAAAUACUUGUCCUAGAAAUGAUUAUAUCUAGACUUAUUUUAGUUACAGAUACAUCCAUUUUCUAUCAUUUGUAAGACAAGUAUUUCGGGACGAAUGGAGUACUUUACUACACGCCACUUCCUCCAAGUGCUGCUACUCCGAGCCCCGUGCACGAAGAUGGAGCCACAAAGGUGCUCUGCUUGACCCGCAUGUUUUCACCCGAUCGGCUCGCGGACGAUGUGUAUUACCGCAACUUUUGCUGGUGGAUGACGGUAGAAGGGCGGAGACACGGUGGUAAGCUGGUGAGAGCCGUGGUCCCACGGCCUGACCCCGGCAGCGCUCCGGUCGCCGGAGUUGGCAAGGUGUUUCUCGAGUACGCGGAUCUCGACAGCUCAACACAUUCAAAGACGAUGUUGCACUUGACGUGGUUUCGCGGGAGGCAGGUGAUUGCCGUGUUUUACCCCGAGGACAAGUUUGCUGAUGGGAACUACGACGGAUAAAACGUGAUUAUUCCCCUGUGUGUGGCUUUUACGCUCAAUAUGCUGUCAAUGACAUUGAGCUAUGGGCUCGCCGGUUUUGCUCUUCUCACGAUAGAACAGAGGCUCUCCACUCCUGGACGAAUUUCCUAAUUUCCCGCCUAAGCGGGCCGUAAUCUAGUUGUAUUCAUGUUUUCUUUCUGUUCCCCAUCUUGUAACCUGCUGCUGAUGGCCUCGGCCUAACAUUAUGUAUGGCUGCCCAGCCUCUUCGAGUUGGCAAUAUAAAAAAUGGCGAGGAGC
Long non-coding RNA from Triticum aestivum (bread wheat), 958 nucleotides. RefSeq lists it as uncharacterized. The record is from RefSeq and is a predicted model, not a curated record. The transcript has 5 exons. Lineage: Eukaryota; Viridiplantae; Streptophyta; Magnoliopsida; Poales; Poaceae.